CAAUUACCAAGACUCAUCAUUUGCCAUCUGUGCUGGCUGCCAGUAGGGCAGUGGAUCAUCAUUUUCUUAGAAUAACCAUAGCCAUUUAUGUCUGAGGCCCUUAGAGAAUUGAUUUUCCCACAGGGCCCUUCUAAGGAAGAAGCAGCAUCUGGCUCUGGUCUUUUGCUUGCUACUUGAAUGCAGACGAGAAGCAGGAUUCUCUCUCAGUGAGAACUCUCUCUACGAGAGUCGUGUUCGGGCUCUCUGGCAGACCUGAGGCUGGCUCUAGGAACAGACUGCAGUUUUCAUCUCAUGGAUGUGUAGUCAGUCAUUUUCUCACAGUCUCUAAGGGGCCGUGCCCUUUGAGACUGCUUUGAGACCUUGCUCUCAACAAAGAGUAAAGUAUUUAGAGCUUCUAAUUCCACUUUUCCUUAAGGGAGGAUGAACUCUGUAGCAAUUACCUUAUGACUUCUGAGGAUCACCUUUGGAAGGCUUGGUGUUACGAACAUUGGGAUAAGAAUUUUACAAAACAUCAAAAAGGACCUCUUUCAAAUCAUCAGCACCUUCAGAAUUUUUCUUCUGAGCCAUAGAGAACAAAAAUUGUGAGUUAGCACUUUCUCUAACCUUGUUAAAGAAGAGCACAGACAGCAGUGAUCCAUACACUCAGGUAAGAUUCCAAUCUCAGUGUGUAGGGAACACACUAAACACCAGUUGGUUUCCUGGACUGGCUAAUGUUCUCCACUUUCUCUUCUGUCCUGGUUUUCCCGG
RNAcentral lists this long non-coding RNA (747 nucleotides) under Sus scrofa (pig). RNAcentral describes it as "lncRNA (ENSSSCG00065046267.1)". The record is from RNAcentral. Lineage: Eukaryota; Metazoa; Chordata; Mammalia; Artiodactyla; Suidae.